UAAUAAAUUAAACCCUAUGUAUAAGUUUAUAAGUUUUGCCCUAAUACUUCCUCUCACCGCGCCUCACCCCGUUUCCGCCUCUUCUCUUCCCCGAUCGCAUCUCCUCCUCUCCUUAUCACCGCGAAGCUGAACCGCCGUCACCUCUUCUGAUCUCCUCUUCCCUUCCUCUCAAAUUCCACUCUCCGUUGCUUCUCUUCUGCUCAUCUUCAUCCGUCGCAGCCACCUCUCGAUCCCCAAUCGCUUGACAACAGCAGACACUCGAUCGAUUUGCAUGAGCUAUUGAGGGAGUCUCCGGUCUCGACCUCACAUGUGCCCUAACUUCCAUCAUCGACGUCGACUUCUGAUCCAUCGAUGCCGACUCCCGAUCUACUGUUGCCUCCUCCCCAUUUACACGAAGACCUAAUCGGUGAUUCUGUAGUUGUCGCCGCCAUCCCUCCUCACAGCUGUAGCCAUCUCAGAGUCAUUGCCACCCUUUGUGCCAGAGGCAGUGCUCAUCCCAAGAAGCUACUGUUGGAUCACUGUUGCUCCUGUUCGCGUGAGGUCGACCCGAUGAUGCCACCACCAUCGCAAGACGUCAUCGUCAUCGUGAUAUUUCGUCGACGAUUGUAGACUGCCUCUCUUCCCCUUGUAUCUGUGAUGCGUGCCUAUGCUGGUCUUCCCCUUUGUUGUGAGCACAAGUCGAUGCUGCCAACCCUCUCCAGCACAAGCAAGCGACUGUGAUCUUCCUUGUUGACACUCUUUGUCGGUAAUGUUCUCAGUCAAGCCACGUCGGAGCUCUAGCCACUACUGGCACAACCUGACUUGGUCAUUGCUGUCACCUCCAGUCGACCAUCGCCAGCUGUCGUGGGCUACUAUGAGAGAAAAAGCUAUGGAAAAGAGUAAAGAAUGACUAAACUAAGGGGAGCAGCAGGAAAGGCAAUGAUGAUGUGUGUGGAAGUGGCAUGGUGGAAUAGAUCCAUUUAUGUUUUAGAACCUAUAUAUGUCUAAACUUGCAUGUGAACCAUGUUUUGAUUUCAUGUUGGUAUGCCUAUGCUUAAGUUAUAGAAUUAUGAAUCAUGUUCAAGUAUUAUGCAUGAAUACUAGUAUGUAGCAUAUCCAUCAUGUUAUAUGGUUAUAUUACUCACAUGCCAUGUUUA
Molecule: long non-coding RNA, 1136 nt
Organism: Zingiber officinale
Lineage: Eukaryota; Viridiplantae; Streptophyta; Magnoliopsida; Zingiberales; Zingiberaceae
Exons: 2
Source: RefSeq, a predicted model, not a curated record